GAGCUAAAGUCAAGCUCAUUUGUUUGCAGGAUUAUUGGGAAGUCAGAGUCCCUGGCUCAGAGCAGAGAAGGCAGCAGCCUGCUCCUUUUGUUGAGAACUAUGCUAUGGGGAGCACAGGCUCCGGCACGUGCGCGUGUGUUUGUGUGUGUGUGUACAUUCCUAGGAAAGAGAGAGGAACGUGAAAGCCUUGUUCCGAAGCCUGAGGACCCUGACUGUGUAGCUGUGACCCUUCAGCUUCCACCCUUGCCCCACGCAUGACCCAGUUUGGUUGGACCCCAGCCUGAUGGGGUAGGGAGCUUUGCUACUUUCUCAGUGUGAACAAAUGAUUUCUUCUUUCAGGGUUCACCUACUCCUGGACUCUCAGGUGUUAAGACCACAAAAGACCCAAGACCUGAGCCAUGACUGGAGAAGCUGCACUGAAAUUUUCCAGAAGGACCUGAAGAAAAUGCUCUCUAGAACUCCAGCCCAUCUGUGUCGCGUGUCUACAGUGCUUCCAUUGGUGGUGUUACUGGACUGGGUUUGUUUUGGCCAAUUGCACAGCAAGCCGAAAGCUGAGACAUGGAGGUUUGUAGCCAGUCACGGAAACAGGAGAAGCAUCUCACAUCACCUCCCCAAAGACAACGGCCUUGGGGUAUUUACUGGAUAAAGAAUAGAGCAGCAGGGCGGUUUGGCUUGAGGGGAGCAUGGGGAGAGGUGAUUGGAAAAUGGGAGAGUUGCGUUUUUGCACAGGUGUAACUACACUAAACGCCUCCACAAGAUCGAAAGGGCUGGGAAGACGCUGGCGCAUGCCCAGUGGAAGGGUUGGUGGUCCUAUCUGGUCUUAACCAGCUCAGUUUGAACUGGAUGAAGCGGAAUCUGAGUUCCUGGGAAACAACCCUGGCGAACAUUUUACUGUCCAGGCCAUGUGCCACUUGGAGGGCAGUUGAGUCUUAACCUGGAUCAGUAAAGGCAGGUGAAUUGGAUUUAUUCCACGGUGGGUACACAGAGGCAUCGCCAGGCCAGACAAGCACCUCGGAAGGUGGAGACGACUGUGAUCCUUCGAUACGUUGGCCCUGUCACCGCAGAAAGAGCAGUGUCGGGACAGUCGUGCAAGGUCAGUGCGAGUCUGGGAGAGCGUGCCUGCCCGCUGGGCUCAGUGGGGAUUCACGGAGGGGUGAGUGAGAGAUGCCAGGGGGGCCAAGGGGACGCCCUGGCCGAGCCCUUAGGCUGUGCCAAGGCACAGAGGCCCAGUGGGGCAAGGGAGGAGCUUGGGGAGUGGUGCCCCGCAGCUAUUGCUCCUAAAGAGAGAGCGCUCCAGGGUCCAGGGGGCUCUGGCCAGCUCGCGUGGGGCUGGGGGAGGAGGUCAAGGCCGGGCCCACGGAAUCUGCCUGCACCUUGGUUUGUUCUUCAAAAGAAGAAAAAAACAGCCUGGUUUGGGGUUUGCUUUGGUGGCUAAGUGGCGGUGAGGGCUUUGCCCAGCCAGUUGACCACCCCCCACCCCGCCCUGGGCCUCCGUUUCCCCCUCUGUAUACAGGGUCAUGACUUAAACUGUGUUUAGCUCAGCAUCACAUAGAGAUGUUAAAUGCUGAUUCCUGGGCCCCAUCCCCAGAGGUUCUGAGUCCUCAGAGCCUGGGUAACGAGGGCCCCAGGGGCUUCUACUGCAGGUG
RNAcentral lists this long non-coding RNA (1646 nucleotides) under Sus scrofa (pig). RNAcentral describes it as "lncRNA (ENSSSCG00070002432.1)". The record is from RNAcentral. Lineage: Eukaryota; Metazoa; Chordata; Mammalia; Artiodactyla; Suidae.